GUAGGGCGCGAGCGUUGUCCGGAUUUAUUGGGCGUAAAGAGCUCGUAGGCGGCUUGUCGCGUCGACCGUGAAAACUUGGGGCUCAACCCCAAGCCUGCGGUCGAUACGGGCAGGCUAGAGUUCGGUAGGGGAGACUGGAAUUCCUGGUGUAGCGGUGAAAUGCGCAGAUAUCAGGAGGAACACCGGUGGCGAAGGCGGGUCUCUGGGCCGAUACUGACGCUGAGGAGCGAAAGCGUGGGGAGCGAACAGGAUUAGAUACCCUGGUAGUCCACGCUGUAAACGUUGGGCGCUAGGUGUGGGGGGCCUCUCCGGUUCCCUGUGCCGCAGCUAACGCAUUAAGCGCCCCGCCUGGGGAGUACGGCCGCAAGGCUAAA
Molecule: ribosomal RNA, 374 nt
Filed under: uncultured bacterium
Lineage: Bacteria
Description: bacterial SSU rRNA
Rfam family: Bacterial small subunit ribosomal RNA
Source: RNAcentral